This 468-nucleotide ribosomal RNA is filed under the name uncultured bacterium. RNAcentral's name for it is "partial 16S ribosomal RNA". It matches the Rfam family "Bacterial small subunit ribosomal RNA", at positions 28 to 507 of the family's 1533-position model. The record is from RNAcentral.
GACGAACGCUGGCGGCGUGCUUAACACAUGCAAGUCGAACGGAAAGGCCCUGCUUUUGUGGGGUGCUCGAGUGGCGCACGGGUGAGUAACGCGUGAGUAACCUGCCCUUGAAUUUGGGAUAAAUUCAGGAAACUGGGGCGAAUACCGGAUAGGAGCUCCUGCUGCAUGGGGGGGGUUGGAAAGUGUCGGCGGUUGGGGCUGGACUCGCGGCUUAUCAGCUUGUUGGUGGGGUAGUGGCUUACCAAGGCUUUGACGGGUAGCCGGCCUGAGAGGGUGACCGGCCACAUUGGGACUGAGAUACGGACCAGACUCCUACGGGAGGCAGCAGUGGGGAAUAUUGCACAAUGGGCGGACGCCUGAGGCAGCAACGCCGCGUGCGGGAUGACGGCCUUCGGGUUGUAAACCGCUUUCGCCUGUGACGAAGCGUGAGUGACGGUAAUGGGUAAAGAAGCGCCGGCUAACUACGUG